AUUGAACGCUGGCGGCAUGCUUUACACAUGCAAGUCGAACGGUAACAGGCCGCAAGGUGCUGACGAGUGGCGUACGGGUGAGUAAUGCAUCGGAACGUGCCCAGUCGUGGGGGAUAACUACUCGAAAGAGUAGCUAAUACCGCAUACGAUCUAUGGAUGAAAGCGGGGGACCGUAAGGCCUCGCGCGAUUGGAGCGGCCGAUGUCAGAUUAGGUAGUUGGUGGGGUAAAGGCUCACCAAGCCAACGAUCUGUAGCUGGUCUGAGAGGACGACCAGCCACACUGGGACUGAGACACGGCCCAGACUCCUACGGGAGGCAGCAGUGGGGAAUUUUGGACAAUGGGCGCAAGCCUGAUCCAGCAAUGCCGCGUGAAGGAAGAAGGCCUUCGGGUUGUAAACUGCUUUUGUACGGAACGAAACGGCUCUGGUUAAUACCCGGGGCUAAUGACGGUACCGGAAGAAUAAGCACCGGCUAACUACGUG
RNAcentral lists this ribosomal RNA (482 nucleotides) under uncultured bacterium. Its description in RNAcentral is "partial 16S ribosomal RNA". It matches the Rfam family "Bacterial small subunit ribosomal RNA", at positions 30 to 507 of the family's 1533-position model. The record is from RNAcentral.